ACAAAAAGAACCACAAAGGCAAAGUCACUACUAGUAUGGUUUGGCUUCUCUGUCUUCGUCUUCAAGCACAACCUUUCGAUAUUCAUCUAACUUACAAAUCUUACACUUGGUUUAACCUUUCUGAGAGUUCUACUCCCACAAAAAUUGAUAGGUUUCUUGUCUCUCCUAAUUUGGAGAUGGUUUACCCAAGAGCCCAUUCCUAUAUCCUACCCCAGCCUAUCUUUGACAUACCCCUAUCCUCCUCAACAUAAAAUCUGUAGCAAACAGGCCUAGACCUUUUCAAUUCAUGCUUAUGUGGCUUGAGGACAAAGAACUACACUUACCGAUUCGCAGUGAUCUGCUUUCAUGGUUUAUGAUGGGCUGGUUAUCGACUAUUUAAAAAGUCGCAAGUUCUCGCAGACAAAUUCAAGCAAUGAAAAAGAGAGUAAUUCGGUCACGUGAUCUGGAAGAAGGAAAUGCUGCUCGCUGAAAUCAACAGCCUGGAUCUUUGUUUGAGGUUGCAAGUACUAGGCAAACGACUGAAAAGACGUGUUUAUUUGCGGUCCUGAAGAUCUCUUGGCUUCAUUGGAUUAGGAUCUCAAUGAAGGUUAUUGGGAUACCAUUGUAUUUCACAAAAUGGCAAAUUGCCACAGAAAUAACACUAUUCCUCAUAUUAGAGAAACAUAUGAACCUUUCGACAAGCCUUGAAAAGUCAAGCAAAUCGUUAACUUCUUACAGAGAGACUCUAUGGGAGAUCACUCAUUGAGACCCAGACUGCAUGAUCUCGAUCUCAAAACUCUCGCGGUAUUAUCUGUCAAUGGGUUACAAACUUAGAAUGCCCCGGUUCAGAGCCAGAAGUUCUGAAAGCCCCAGCUAAACUAGGCCAUGAUAAAGCUCCUAGACUCAAUGGUUUCUCAUAGCCCUUUACCACCGUUUCUGGACAGCCUAGCCCCUAAAGCCAUGGCUAUAUUUGCCAAAUUCCGUCCAAUAGAAAUGAUCUACAGAGCAUGCACUUCAUAUUCAUUGCCUUAUCCCUUAGCUUGAAGGAGCUGGUGGACUGAAAGACUUCUAGCUUAUCAACCUCAUAAACAACUCCUGCAAGCUAUUAGUCAAAGUGCAAGCGUCCUGACCUCACUGCAAGGCACAUUUCCAACGUAAUAUUUGAUGUCAUUCUGGACUGCAUCCAUGCCAAAGACCUAAUUCGUAAGCCAGGCUUAAUCUUUGAGCUUGAUUUUGUAAAGGCCUAUGACCAUGCAGACUGGCAGCUCCUAGAUCAACCCACGGCCCUGAUGGGUUUUGGCCAAAUAUGGUGCCCUGAUGGGUUUUGGCCAAAUAUGUUGCUCUUGGAUCAUGGGAUGCAUCUACUAUGCAUAUUUCAUGAUCCUCAUCAAUUGAAGUCCACAUGACUUCUUCCCCUAUGUGCCGAGGAGACCCCUUGGCUCCCUUUCUCUUUUCCGUCGUCGUGGAAAUUCAGGCAUGCUCAAUGGCUUCGCCACCUAUAGGACUGGCUCAUCCAUAUUUCACCUAUAAUACAGAGAUGACACCCUUGUCUUCUGCAACCCCACGCCAUAGCAAGUCGAAAUAUCUGUGGUUGUUCAUCCAGUGUUUCAAAUUUGCAACAUGGUAAAUCGACCAUAUGUGGCUGUUCAUUCAGUAUUUCUAAUUUGCAAGAGGGCUUAAAGAUAACAUGGCUAAAACUAAACUCAGGGAUAGGCGUCUCUAAGGGCUCGUUUGGUUCAUGUGAAAACUUGCAUCAUGAAACUGGUUGCAUAUGAAACCUAUAGUUACACAUGUUUGGUUCAUGUGUAUAGUCGAUGAAAACCUUUUUCACUGGAAAUGGUUUUACCACCACAAGGAGGAAAUCCAUGAAAUGUAAUCCCCACCCCACAAGGUGGGGAGUAAUUCACUGGGGAACCAUUUCACCCACGCGGACGCAGAAAAAUUUUCGGCCACAAAAAAAAGACGGACACAAAGCCCUCUUCUCACAAAACCCUCGCCCCUCUUUCAGCCCCGAGAGAAAUCCUUGCCCCUCUUUCGCAACCCUCUGGGUCUUGCUUCUUCCACAAUCCUUUGCGAGGAUCCAUUUGCAAGCAUUCAUCUUCUUCAACAAGGUUUUGUAGCUGGUUUUGUUGUAUGGGUUGCGUAAACAAGCACAAUUUUGCUCUGUAGAAAUGUGUUGCUCUUUGUUUUUUGUCUUGUUGGUUUUGUUGCUGGUUUUGUAGUAUAGGUUGAACAUUCAAGGACAAUUUUCUUUGAAGAAAUUUGUUGCCCUUUUUUUUUAUUUCUUUCUGCUUUUUCUUACUAAUUAUGUUGCUGGUUUUGUUGUAUAGGUUGAACAUACAAGGACAAUUUUCUUUGAAGAAAUUUGUUGCCCUUUUUUUUUAUUUCUUUCUGCUUUUUCUUACUAAUUAUGUUGCUGGUUUUGUGGCCGGUUUUGUUGUUUGGGUUGUAGUGCAUGCAAGCACAAUUUGCUCUGUAGAAAUUUGUGGCUGUUUUUUUCUUUGUUAUUUUUUGCUGGUUAUGUUGCUGGUUUUGUUGUGUUGGUUGUGCUAACAAGCAUAAUUUGCUCCGUAGAAAUAUGGGUUGCACAUACAAACACAAUUUGCUCUGUAGAAAUUUGUUGUUUUUUUUUCAAUUUCUUGCUGGUUUUUAAAAAUGUGGGUUUGGCUUAUCAAAUGCUUCCUAACUAUUGUUUUGUUUCCUCAAUCCCUUGAAAAGAUACAUAUUACACCCAAAAAAAAAUUACAUCAUUUUUAUAAUAUGUCAAAGAGGCCUCUUAGACUCACAGGGCUGCUCACUGGUGCAACCAUUUCCAUGGUAAUUCCCAACCAUUCCUUAACAUUUCAGCCACUUCUCUCAUGAACGGACUUCUCACUUCCUCUUUCAACAAGCACACUCUCACCACCUCUGCAAUCACAUAAAACCUCCUCCUUCAUCACAUCACCAACCACCUCAUCUAACAGCUCCAUAGAGCCUUUUAACAAUCCCCACCUCUCUAGUGCAUCUGCCUACUGAUUUUGCUAUGUUUAUAGCAUUCAUUUUUUAAUCUCUUUUGCUAUGCUGAGUUAUUUUGUAUCAGGCUAUUAUUCUUUGGCAAUUAUGUGGUUUUGAGCUUACAAUCUCUUUGUUUUGGGCAUAUAAACACAAUUGAAGGUGAGUUUUUCCAUUCAUUUUCAAACUCAGCUUACCUAUUGAGAAACAAGUGCCUUGAGAAAUUUUUGUGCAAACUACCAUGACAAACAUAAACAUUUUUCCCAAGAAAGCAGAUUAUUUCUUUAAUGGAACUACUUUCGUACCCAUUAAUAUAAAUUGUGUCUGGAGCUGUAUUAGACCUGAGUGUAGAUGCUUUUAACUAGGAAUUGGUUUUUACCGAUGGUACUGUUAAAUAACAAUCUGGGUUGAAAUUUUUAGUGUCUUGCUUUUAGAAACCCAAGUUCUAUUUGUGCUUUCUUUAGGUUGCUAUUACUAUGGCUUUGCUUCUGGUUUGAAAAACGCUCGUAGGUGUCUUUAUGUUAGGCUCUAUGAUAGAUGUCUAAACUUCCAUCUUAAUGUGACAUGAUUAGUCAUGUGCUGGAUUUCUUUUAUUUUGCAGGAGAGGAAGUUUCUUUGUUUACUUGACACAUAAGCAAAAUGUGUAAGAUUUUAUCUAGAAGCAUUAAUAAGAUAGAGACUUGAGGGGUGCCUAUAGUGAUGGUCUCAGUAGUACUAUUAUAAUCUAAGUUGACAUUACUCUCAUUUGCAUAUUUGUGCUAGUCACAUACCACGAUCGAUGAAAGUAGGGUUCCUUUAAAGCCUUGAGGAGAACUCAAAUGCUCUAUUUUGACUUCAAAGUAGGGUUCCUUUAAAAUAGCUUACAUCCCAGGGUGUGCAUCUUACACUGAACAAUGAGGGGCUAAUUUAGAUCGUUUGUAAACCUAUGUAAUCUUGACAGGAUGUUGUUAAGGCUAAGUUCUCCUCGAGGCUUCCCUUACCUUGAAUAUAAUAAACAGAUUUUCAAGUCAUUAAUUAAUCAUGAAACUAAGUAUUUAGAUCCAUAAAUGAGAGUUUGAGAGUUUUUCUCUUUUUAGGGCCUUGAUUCAAUGUGAGGGUAACCCUGGCUCAGGGUUAUCCAGUGGGCAAUGGGUUAUAGGCUACUAUUGGUUCACUUGUUUCAAGGGGCAUUUCAUUCAUAUGAAACAUUUAUGUAUCACGAUGUGCAUCGUUUAAAUUCAAGGUCCACAACACCAUACUGCUGGAGCAUUUUUUCUUUGUUGGCCAUAAAUUGGGUGUGGGAAAUGUCUUUAGUUUCUUUGUUCACAUAAAAGCACAAUUCGCUCUGUAGAAAUCUGUUGCUUUUUUCUUUUUUUUUUAAUUUCUUGCUGGUUUUUCUUGUUGGUUAUGUUACUGGUUUUGUUGUAUUGGUUGCGUAUACAAGCACAAUUUGCUCUGUAGAAAUAAGGGUUGUGUAUACAAGCUCAAUUUGCUCUGUAGAAUUUGUUCCUUUUUUUUCAAUUUCUUGCUGGUUUCUAGAAAUGUGGUUUUUAAGUGAAUCAACACAAAUCACACAUCUGUUGAUGCACAAAACUGUGGUGACAAAAGUCUAUUACUUGUUGAGACAGAAGAACAAGAUGCCCUUGUGGACCUACUAAUAUUUCAUUCAAGAAACUCAUGAGUCCAAACCAAACUACAGGGCUGUCAUGUCCUCUCCACCAACUGGUCGUAUCAGUUUCCUUGUUGGGCUCAACAGAGGCUCAGUUGGUGAAUAGGCUAUGACAAAAAUGAACUUCCCAACAGGAAGCUUUGGGUACCAUGACAUUACUAUUCUCAAUAUUAAUAAAAAACCGAAGGCAGAGAGAGAGGGCCCAAGAAAAGCCAUUGGCAGUUUGGCUGUUGAUGGGUCCAAUCUGCUACAAAUGGUAUGAGCCUUUGUAUUUCACUUGAUACAUGUUGUCCAAAAGCACAGCCUAAGGGAGUUGUAAGCCGAUAAGAGGCAACAGGUGUUCUGUGUACCCAAUUUUUUAAUUGGUUUGCUUCUUUUUGAAUCCUUGAUUCCUGCUAUGCAAAAAGAUGGAAUCUGAGUUGUUUGGGAUUGUGGGGUGUGUAAUUCAAGAUUGUUUUUUUAUGUACUAUUAUCUUUGGUUCCAUUGAUGUUAAACAUCAACGACAAGCUGAUUAAAAUUAAAACUCUUCAGAACUUGAAUAUCUAGAUUUCCAAGUUGUUCUUCUGUGACCUGAAAAAGUAGUCAUUCACUUUAAGAGAAUGUAAAGCUAACUCUCCAUAUCAAAGUCUUUUAGUCUUUCUUUUAACGUUUUUCUUCUUGAGUCUGGGUAUACUGGGUUCUUGAUAUAGGUUCCAAGUGUUUUAAUGGAAAUCAUUUAUUUUAAUAUUGUUUAUGUUUUAAUUGAGUCUGCGCAUUUUUGGGUUACUGAUAUUCAAUGAUAGAAGGUUUUUGGGGGCUGAUAUUUAUUUUUAUUUACUUUUUAAUUGUGAUUUUAGGGGUUUUAUUAUUGUGGGUUCUUGGAUAGGCUGGAAACAGCAGGGAUUGAUCGUCAGUAAUUCACAAAUAAAACAUGGUCAUGGAGGCUAUUAAUUUUUUAAAUUCUUUUGUGACCCCUGUUUUUUUAAUUUGGGAACUAUUCAUUCCUUUGAGUACAGUGUGGAAUUAUAUGGGCUUUGAGUACUGUAGACCCUCUAAUCAUUGAAGCAAAUAAAAUUCAAUUCCAUUCUCUGGCCCCAAAACACCAUGAUUUCUCAGCAAUUUUGACAUUUUCUGCCAAGAAUAAUCUGCUCCAAAUUUAUUAUUAUUCCAUUGUAGUAGUUUACCAAGAAUAAUAAACUGGUUUUUCUAAUAUUAUAAGGUCUACAUAUAAUUGCUGAUAUUUUUUCAUUAAUCUUACAAGAUAGAGACUUAAAUUUAUUAUUAUUCCAUUAUAGUGGUUUACCAAGAAUAAUAAACUGGUCUUUCUAAUAUUAUAAGGUCUACAUAUAAUUGCUGAUAUUUUUUCAUUAAUCUUACAAGAUAGAGAUUUUAAAAAAAAUGCAUGGAUUAGUUUAUCAAGGCUUGAUGCUUAUAUAAUUUAAUAAAGUGAAUCAAACUUAUGAUCUAAACAAUCCAUUUUUUUAAAGAUAAUACAAAUUAAAUGUUUUAAAAAAAUAAUUGUAUUGGGAUGGAUGUCGAUAUCAAAUCGCCUAUAUUUGCAAUUGAAUGGUUAAAAAUAGGUAUUAAUCUAGAUUCUAGGAAAUAGUUUACCCAUGAGUUACCAAACUUAAGAAACUGGUUACACAGGAAUUUGGGAAACUGGUUACCCAUGUGAACCAAACAUGAAAAAAAAAUGGAUUGGAAACCUAUUGCAUAGGAAACAGUUUGCCUAUGAAAACGUUUUCUAUAUGCAAACUGUUACACGCGAACCAAACGAGCCCUAAGAUCAAUCUUCUAGCCAAAAGAAUGGAAUGUCAUAGGGAUACUAUCCAGCAAAUACCUAUGCCUCCUACUGUGCAUAGGCAAGCGGGCAAAGCCCUAUGGGAUAGACUAGCAGAGAGAUUCUAACACACAUUAGUGGUCUGGAAACAGAAUUUUUGUCCCUCAGUGACCGGUGGGAUAGACUAGCAGAGAGAUUCUAACAUAGAUUAGUGGCCUGGAGACGGAAUUUUUGUUCCUCAGUGACCGUAUCAUCUUGAUCAAGUCCAACUCUCCAAUAUCUCCAUCUUUCAGAUGUCUACUUUUACAAUCCUUGCAUCAAUUGAACGUAAGUAAGAAUGCAUGGUGAGAUGUUUCUUUUGGAGUUGCACUCGUGACUCCCAUAAAUGCUAUCUAAUGAAAUGUAACAUAGUUUGUCUAUCCAAGUCCUAGGGUGGAUCAGAACAGUUAGGGAAUGCAACACCGUGUUAAUAUGGGCGAAUGGCUAUGGUGCUACAACAUAGAAAAUGAUCACCUACAGAAAAUGGUGAUGAAACACAGAUAUCUCUGAAGUUGCUUGUGUGCUACCCAGAGGGAGAGCUAGUACUCGAGCCCUUGAAAGCUAACAAUACUAGUUUCUUGGCUUCCUCAAACAAUAUUUGACAUGGAACAAAAAUGAGAAGCAUGUAUGUUUUCUGAAGGAUCUUUGGUUAGAUUCCUGACCUUGGAGCUGGACUUCCGAAUAGCUGCCGAUAAGGAAGUGACUCUCUCAUGUUACCAUGAGCAACUAAGAGGCCAGACCAUAUGGACACCUAGUUACUUUAGGUAAUCGCAUUGCGAGACAAAUGUCCUGGUGGACAACUUAGCCAAAGAAAGGACAUCCAGAUCAGGUCUCUGCACUUCCAUAGCUUUCUCCAAAGGAAAUAUUUUACACACACUAACUUUUUUGUAUGCAAAAUUACACUACCACCAUUUUGUAAAACACAUACACGGAAAAAUCAACAUCUUUACCCAAACUAAUACAAAGAAUCUAUGCAUUCAAAUUUGAGUUGCCUUCACCCUUCCCAUUUGCCCCUUCAAGCAGGCACCCUUCGCUUUCAAUUGCAAUUAGUUUUGUGUUUUUUAUUUCUUUCUUUAUUUAUUUGAGAUGCUCCACACUUCCAGGUAUGUGAGAGCAAACAUGUUUUUAGUAUUUGUCUUUACAGAAACAAUCACAAGGUUUAACUGUCAAAAAGAAUAAUGAUCGCAUAGGUUGAUGGUCCAUAACAUAAUUUGGGUCCAUCACGCUGCCCACCAGUGGUGUAGUGGUCAGGGUUAUCACAACCAUCAAAUGGCUAUCAAAAAAUUUGGACUGCAAUGAUACUAUAUCAAUCCCCAUCAUUUUUCAUAAACUAAAAUCUAAAAUCAUUUGAGAUAUAUAUUUUUGCAGAUCGCAUUCCGAAUGGAAUGACAACCCCGAGAAAAUAGCUCAGGCUAAUCGCAGGCUAUAUCGAGAGCAAAGGUGGCGUCGAUUGGCUCUUCUGCUGUUUGAAGUGUUGCAGUAGUAGGAGUAGGAGUGCUCGAUGUAAUCUUAGAAAUCAGGGCUUCAAAUUAAUGUUCACAUUGCCGAAACUUAACUCCACUUAUGCAAAUUGGCUUCAAAUUAAGGGCAAAGCUUAUGCAUUGGCAGAAUUUAGUGGACUGUUUUUCAGAUGUUGCAGAGCUUAAUUCUCGAGGUAUAGAGGUUCUCUAAUGUUUGUUAUUAUUUAAAACGUUGAAAGAAUCAGGCCACGUUUAUGAAACACAAGGGUACGAAGCUCUAUUUUAUUAAAAUGCUAGGGAGCUGGGCUGGAGGAACUGUUCUAUUGGGAAAUUUGCCCCUUUCAUUUCAUCUAUCUUCAACUUGCUUUAUCAAUGUUAUGUAUUAUGUUCUCUCUUUUGCCCUAGCCAAUUGGUAUCAUCUAGU
This is a non-coding RNA of Amborella trichopoda, 8301 nucleotides long. Lineage: Eukaryota; Viridiplantae; Streptophyta; Magnoliopsida; Amborellales; Amborellaceae. The record is from RefSeq and is a predicted model, not a curated record.